GCGCAGUUCACACACCCAGCCACGCGCGACCUGAACCUUUUCGAGAUUGCGCUGUACGACAAGAAGGUGGAUAACUAUGAGGUACGGAGGCAAUGGAAAGGGAGGGCAUGGAGUUGCAUAUGGUCGGUUGUGGAUUUGUUGGGGCACGGGGAUUUAUUUGGGCACGCCAGCACACGGGAUUGAGGUGAUCAGGUUUGUUGUUGUUAUUACAGCGGACUGCCGCCAGGAUCACUACAUCCCAAACACAAUGUCGUACUCCCGCCAGAGGUUGCAUUAGCCAGAUUUCCGCUUCGGGAUAUUGGAUGCCCCAAUCGUAUAACAACAUAUGACUAAUGACCGUUUGAGCAAUUGGGAAGUCCCAAAAGUGAUGUAGCCUGGGCGACUGGGACUGUUCACGCGUGUGUGUGUGUGUGUGUGUGUGUGUAUGUGUGUGUGUGUGUGUGAGUGUGUGUGUGUGUGAGUGUGUGUGUGUGUGUGUGUUACGUGGUUGGGGGUGCGUGACCCCAUACCUGUAAAACUACCCAUACGAGCCGAAGGCCCAAGGGUAAACGCCUAAAAGCCACGGAGAAAAGGAAACACCGCACUAUCAGCCCAGACUAGCGCCCAAAGGGGAUAACUGAGUUGCGGUGGGCCCACAUAUGCUCCAACAUCCUCGCCAGACGCGCUGGCUCCCAUUUCAUGGCAGCACGUCUGGCAAGGAUGUUGACAUGUAAAAGCGGUUGGGAUGCCAUUACCUGACCACCUCCACCACGUUUCCUUUUGGGAGUUUUCCCAGCACCGCACAGUCGACCACGCACGACGGAAAGCAUGUUGUAAAGCAUGAACUUGCCCAAGAUGGUGGUUGCUGUGGGGAAGGAGUGUUAAAUGCUUCCCGCGCAAAUAGCACAUCAGCUUGAUUACGGUCAUAUAGCAGCUGCUCACCUGUACACACGACGGACCUCGCGGAUGCGUAGAACUGAGAGUCUUUGUGGAGGUGGGAUGGAGUCCAACCCAGCGGCAGGCACUAGCGUACAUAGACGGAUACGAAGCAAUUAAGACGGCGGCAGCGGAGUCUUGAACUCUGAACAUCAAGUAGUCGUGAU
This 1082-nucleotide long non-coding RNA is filed under the name Volvox carteri. Its description in RNAcentral is "long non-coding RNA (VCAR_LNC000865)". The record is from RNAcentral. Lineage: Eukaryota; Viridiplantae; Chlorophyta; Chlorophyceae; Chlamydomonadales; Volvocaceae.